RNAcentral lists this ribosomal RNA (369 nucleotides) under Triticum aestivum (bread wheat). RNAcentral describes it as "partial small subunit ribosomal RNA". The record is from RNAcentral. Lineage: Eukaryota; Viridiplantae; Streptophyta; Magnoliopsida; Poales; Poaceae.
AUGCGCAACGGCCGGCGCGAUGACUCGUACCAGCGGUGGCGCUGGCAGCCUUCCUCCUGCGACCACCCCAGGUUCGAUGCGCGGUUGCUGCUGGAGCGGCUGUGGAAGAAGAGGCUGAUGUUCGUGGGGGACUCCCUGAAGUCGAUGGUGUGCCUGGUGUCGUCGGCGAUCCCGUCGCGCGACCAAAAGUCCCUGGCCAAGUUCGUGGGGCCCAACGGCUCUCUCAACGUGUUCAUGGCGGCGGAUUACAACGCGACGGUGGAGUUCUACUGGGAGCUCCAAGCCUCCAACUCGGAUGACCCGCAGGCGCACGGCGUGCUGGACCCCGUCAUCGCCUGGCGGUCCAUUCCCAAGCACGCCCGGCACUAG